Molecule: non-coding RNA, 78 nt
Filed under: Micromonospora echinospora
Lineage: Bacteria; Bacillati; Actinomycetota; Actinomycetes; Micromonosporales; Micromonosporaceae
Source: RNAcentral
AGGAACCCGGUGCGAGUCCGGGGCGGUCCCGCCACUGUCACCGGAUCGGCGUCACCGCCGGCCCGGGAGCCAGACACU